RNAcentral lists this ribosomal RNA (428 nucleotides) under uncultured archaeon. Its description in RNAcentral is "bacterial SSU rRNA". It matches the Rfam family "Archaeal small subunit ribosomal RNA", at positions 474 to 903 of the family's 1478-position model. The record is from RNAcentral.
UACCAGCUCUUCGAGUGGUGUGGAUGUUUAUUGGGCCUAAAGCAUCCGUAGCUGGCUGGGCAAGUCCCCUGUUAAAUCCACCGAUUUAAUCGUUGGAGUGCGGGGGAUACUGUUCGGCUAGGGGACGGGAGAGGCAGACGGUAUUUUCGGGGUAGGGGUGAAAUCCUAUAAUCCCGGGAAGACCACCAGUGGCGAAGGCUGUCUGCUAGAACGCGCCCGACGGUGAGGGAUGAAAGCUGGGGGAGCGAACCGGAUUAGAUACCCGGGUAGUCCCAGCUGUAAACGAUGCAGGCUAGGUGUUUGGGCGGCCACGUGCCGCUCUAGUGCCGCAGGGAAGCCGUUAAGCCUGCCGCCUGGGGAGUACGGCCGCAAGGCUGAAACUUAAAGGAAUUGGCGGGGAGCACCACAAGGGGUGAAGCUUGCAGUUU